UUCUGUUAGUCUUGGCAGAGCUCGUAGC
RNAcentral lists this non-coding RNA (28 nucleotides) under Bombyx mori (domestic silkworm). Lineage: Eukaryota; Metazoa; Arthropoda; Insecta; Lepidoptera; Bombycidae. The record is from RNAcentral.